GCAGUGGGGAAUAUUGCACAAUGGGCGAAAGCCUGAUGCAGCGACGCCGCGUGAGUGAUGAAGGCCUUCGGGUUGUAAAGCUCUGUGGGGGGAGAAGAAAACAGUUAGGGCGAAUAGGCCUAGCUCUUGACGGUACCCCUUUAGAAAGCACCGGCUAACUCUGUGCCAGCAGCCGCGGUAAUACAGAGGGUGCAAGCGUUGUUCGGAAUUACUGGGCGUAAAGCGCGCGCAGGCGGAUCCUGCAAGUCCGGAGUGAAAUCUCACCGCUCAACGGUGAGGCUGCUUUGGAUACUGCGGAUCUGGAGACCGGUAGAGGCUGGUAGAAUUGCAGGUGUAGCGGUGGAAUGCGUAGAGAUCUGCAAGAAUACCCGUGGCGAAGGCGGCCAGCUGGGCCGGUUCUGACGCUGAGGCGCGAAAGCGUGGGGAGCAAACAGGAUUAGAUACCCUGGUAG
RNAcentral lists this ribosomal RNA (452 nucleotides) under Stenotrophomonas sp. SAM-B. RNAcentral describes it as "bacterial SSU rRNA". It matches the Rfam family "Bacterial small subunit ribosomal RNA", at positions 351 to 793 of the family's 1533-position model. Lineage: Bacteria; Pseudomonadati; Pseudomonadota; Gammaproteobacteria; Lysobacterales; Lysobacteraceae. The record is from RNAcentral.